This 34-nucleotide transfer RNA is filed under the name Ophioglossum petiolatum. RNAcentral describes it as "partial transfer RNA-Lys". Lineage: Eukaryota; Viridiplantae; Streptophyta; Polypodiopsida; Ophioglossales; Ophioglossaceae. The record is from RNAcentral.
CGACGAGUUCCGGGUUCGAGUCCCGGGCAACCCA